This 324-nucleotide long non-coding RNA is filed under the name Bos taurus (domestic cattle). RNAcentral describes it as "long non-coding RNA NONBTAT023401". Lineage: Eukaryota; Metazoa; Chordata; Mammalia; Artiodactyla; Bovidae. The record is from RNAcentral.
ACAUAGUAUCAUAAAGAUCCAAAAGUUAAAUAUUUUUAGAAAAUUUGUACAAGUUUUACUUAUCCAUACAAGCCAGAUCAAGGAUUGAGAUUUUGAAUUUUAUUCAUUAUUCUGUAAGUUACUUUCUGUGUACAGAAAAGAAUUUGGAUAGCUUCUUUUCUUCAGAUGUAUAUUAGUUCAGUGGUCUUUUUUCACUGAGUCCCUUCUUCUUAUGCUCCCUUAGCACAAAUUGCAUAUAAUCUUUGUGGUGAGUCAUAAUGGAGACAGACACAUGCUACUUUUAUUAAUAAUUUACCAAGUACUAUGUUUUACGUAUGUCAUACU